CCCUUAGAUGUCCUGGGCCGCACGCGCGCUACACUGACAUGUUCAACAAGCCUCCUAGUUCGACAGGAUUUGGGAAAUCUUUGAACGCAUGUCGUGAUAGGGAUAGAUCAUUGCAAUUAUUGAUCUUGAACGAGGAAUUCCUAGUAAACGCGAGUCAUCAGCUCGCAUUGAUUACGUCCCUGCCCUUUGUACACACCGCCCGGCGCACCUACCGAUUGAAUGUUUCGGUGAAGAUUCCGGAUAGGACUUUUUUGAUUUAUUUCAAUUUUGUCUUAAAAGCUAUCUAAACCUCAACAUUUAGAGGAAGGUGAAGUCGUAACA
RNAcentral lists this ribosomal RNA (321 nucleotides) under uncultured eukaryote. RNAcentral's name for it is "partial 18S ribosomal RNA". It matches the Rfam family "Eukaryotic small subunit ribosomal RNA", at positions 1470 to 1796 of the family's 1831-position model. The record is from RNAcentral.